GCAGGGGUACCCAAGUGGUCAAAGGGGCAGGGCUUAAGACCCUGUGGCUUAGUGCCUUCGCAGGUUCGAAUCCUGUCCCCUGCA
Molecule: transfer RNA, 84 nt
Filed under: Candidatus Woesearchaeota archaeon
Lineage: Archaea; Nanobdellati; Candidatus Woesearchaeota
Description: tRNA-Leu
Rfam family: tRNA
About the family: Transfer RNA (tRNA) molecules are approximately 80 nucleotides in length. Their secondary structure includes four short double-helical elements and three loops (D, anti-codon, and T loops). Further hydrogen bonds mediate the characteristic L-shaped molecular structure. tRNAs have two regions of fundamental functional importance: the anti-codon, which is responsible for specific mRNA codon recognition, and the 3' end, to which the tRNAs corresponding amino acid is attached (by aminoacyl-tRNA synthetases). tRNAs cope with the degeneracy of the genetic code in two manners: having more than one tRNA (with a specific anti-codon) for a particular amino acid; and 'wobble' base-pairing, i.e. permitting non-standard base-pairing at the 3rd anti-codon position.
Source: RNAcentral